RNAcentral lists this ribosomal RNA (497 nucleotides) under uncultured bacterium. RNAcentral's name for it is "partial 16S ribosomal RNA". It matches the Rfam family "Bacterial small subunit ribosomal RNA", at positions 28 to 507 of the family's 1533-position model. The record is from RNAcentral.
GAUGAACGCUGGCGGCGUGCCUAAUACAUGCAAGUCGAGCGAACAGAUGAGGAGCUUGCUCCUCUGACGUUAGCGGCGGACGGGUGAGUAACACGUGGAUAACCUACCUAUAAGACUGGGAUAACUUCGGGAAACCGGAGCUAAUACCGGAUAAUCUAUUUAACCGCAUGGUUCAAUAGUGAAAGACGGUUUUGCUGUCACUUAUAGAUGGAUCCGCGCCGCAUUAGCUAGUUGGUAAGGUAACGGCUUACCAAGGCGACGAUGCGUAGCCGACCUGAGAGGGUGAUCGGCCACACGGGAACUGAGACACGGUCCAGACUCCUACGGGAGGCAGCAGUAGGGAAUCUUCCGCAAUGGGCGAAAGCCUGACGGAGCAACGCCGCGUGAGUGAUGAAGGUCUUCGGAUCGUAAAACUCUGUUAUUAGGGAAGAACAAAUGUGUAAGUAACUAUGCACGUCUUGACGGUACCUAAUCAGAAAGCCACGGCUAACUACGUG